RNAcentral lists this microRNA precursor (92 nucleotides) under Chlorocebus sabaeus (green monkey). RNAcentral describes it as "miRNA (ENSCSAG00000021908.1)". The stretch from base 14 to 85 matches the Rfam family "mir-622 microRNA precursor family". Lineage: Eukaryota; Metazoa; Chordata; Mammalia; Primates; Cercopithecidae. The record is from RNAcentral.
GAGAGGAGCUAGACAAGUAGUGGUCUCAGAAGAUUGAGGAGAGCACCACAGUGGUCACCACGCAGUCCGCUGAGGUUGGAGCUGCUGCGAUG